CAAACACUGAUGAGAGAUAAGAGAACAUUGUUAGAGUGUUGUCUCUCAGUGCAGGUGGAGUGCAGGAAUUCAAGGGAAUCUGUGUUAUCAUGUACACUCUUUUCUAUUGGGAUACGCUCGCUCGCAGGCACGUUGAAAACCAGCCAUCACCAUUUAGGGACAGAACCAAAAAAGGAAGUCCAAAAAAGAUUCAGCAGAAAAGUAAGUGAUUAGAGUACUAGUAUUACUUUUUAAGUGGAUGCUUGAAAUAUAUUAGUGUACUGAGUAAUCCCUUAUCUAGUUAUCCUCCUGCUGGGGGCCAGAAAGUUGGUAAUAAAUAUUCAAAAAAUAUUUUUUUCCAAAGGGUUCUGCUUGAACCGACUACGAAGUUACUACAUAUUAAGCCUAGUGUCAUGGAGACAAAACAGAAAUGCGACCUUUGGAUGCUGCAGUUGCUUUAUGCUUUUGCCUGCUUAGGCUGCUGAAGAAGGAGAAAAAGGGCCUGCUUGAGCUAAGGAAGUUUAAUACCUUGGAGCUGAUAUAUACGGUAUUAUUUUGUCUUUCUGACAGCGUCCGGUGCUAUUUUUACUCAGGCUGAUGCAGGGGUUAGGUUAGAACUUUAGGAAGAAUGGUGAUUUAUUUUAAAUGCUGUUUGUGUAAUAGC
RNAcentral lists this long non-coding RNA (643 nucleotides) under Lynx pardinus (Iberian lynx). The record is from RNAcentral. Lineage: Eukaryota; Metazoa; Chordata; Mammalia; Carnivora; Felidae.